This 253-nucleotide ribosomal RNA is filed under the name uncultured bacterium. Its description in RNAcentral is "partial 16S ribosomal RNA". It matches the Rfam family "Bacterial small subunit ribosomal RNA", at positions 524 to 776 of the family's 1533-position model. The record is from RNAcentral.
GACAGAGGGGGCAAGCGUUGCUCGGAAUCACUGGGCGUAAAGCGCACGUAGGCGGAUUGCUAAGUCAGGGGUGAAAUCCUGGAGCUCAACUCCAGAACUGCCUUUGAUACUGGCAACCUUGAGUCCGGGAGAGGUGAGUGGAACUGCGAGUGUAGAGGUGAAAUUCGUAGAUAUUCGCAAGAACACCAGUGGCGAAGGCGGCUCACUGGCCCGGUACUGACGCUGAGGUGCGAAAGCGUGGGGAGCAAACAGG